UGCAGUCGAGGGGCAGCACGGUAGCAAUACUGGUGGCGACCGGCGCACGGGUGCGUAACACGUAUACAAUCUGCCUUUAACAGGGGGAUAGCCUUUCGAAAGAGAGAUUAAUACCCCAUAAUAGAUGAAACGGCAUCGUUUUAUUUUGAAAGUUCCGACGGUUAAAGAUGAGUAUGCGUCUGAUUAGCUAGAUGGUGAGGUAACGGCUCACCAUGGCCACGAUCAGUAGGGGAUCUGAGAGGACUACCCCCCACACGGAUACUGAGACACGGAUCCGACUCCUACGGGAGGCAGCAGUAAGGAAUAUUGGACAAUGCCCGCAAGGGUGAUCCAGCCAUGCCGCGUGCAGGAAGACGGCCCUAUGGGUUGUAAACUGCUUUUAUACCGGAGAAAACCUCCCCUCGUGAGGGGAGCUGAUAGUAUGGUAAGAAUAAGCAUCGGCUAACUUCGUGCCAGCAGCCGCGGUAAGACGAAGGAUGCAAGCGUUAUCCGGAUUCAUUGGGUUUAAAGGGAGCGUAGGCGGCCUUGUAAGUCAGUGGUGAAAUCUCGCAGCUUAACUGCGAAAUUGCCAUUGAUACUGCAGGGCUUGAGUACAGUUGCCGUUGGCGGAAUAUGACAUGUAGUGGUGAAAUACAUAGAGAUGUCAUAGAACACCGAUUGCGAAGGCAGCU
Molecule: ribosomal RNA, 671 nt
Filed under: uncultured Sphingobacteriales bacterium
Lineage: Bacteria; Pseudomonadati; Bacteroidota; Sphingobacteriia; Sphingobacteriales
Description: bacterial SSU rRNA
Rfam family: Bacterial small subunit ribosomal RNA
Source: RNAcentral